AGUACAGUGGCCGACUGGUUAAGGUGUUGGAUUUAAGUUCCAAUGGACAAUUGUCCGCAUUGGUUCGAACACCAUCCGCACAA
Molecule: transfer RNA, 83 nt
Filed under: Dreissena polymorpha
Lineage: Eukaryota; Metazoa; Mollusca; Bivalvia; Myida; Dreissenidae
Description: tRNA-Leu
Source: RNAcentral